ACAGAGAAGGGAAAACAGAGGGGCAGAGAGACAGAGAAGGAAACAAAGAGACUUUAUUAAAACCAAACAUCGUGGAGGCAGCUGCCUGCCCGCAGAGGUCAGAGUCAGGUGGUGUCCUGGACUCCUGGCCCAACCACACAGAAAUGCGAGUCCCACCUCACAGCUCCGGGGCUGUGGCUCCCCAGCGCUCUCCAGGGUCAGGCGCGUUGGCUCACACCUGUAAUCCCAGCACUUUGGGAGGCCAAGGAGGGUGGAUCACCUAUCAGGAGUUCAAGACCAGCCUGGCCAACAGAGUGAAACCCCAUCUCUAUCAAAAAUACAAAAAAAUUAGCCAGGUGUAGUGGCUUGCACCUGUAAUCCCAGCUACCCAGGAGGCUGAGGCAGGAGAAUUGCUUGAACCCGGGAGGUGGAAGUGGCAGUGAGCCAGGAUCGCACCACUGCGCUCCAGCCUGGACAACAGAGCAAGACUCCAUCUCAAAAAAAAAAAAAAGGAAGAAAAUAUAACAGUCCUCUAUGUCCCCUGUACCUAUAUAGAAUAGAUGUGGACAUUUUGCCA
RNAcentral lists this non-coding RNA (556 nucleotides) under Pan troglodytes (chimpanzee). The record is from RNAcentral. Lineage: Eukaryota; Metazoa; Chordata; Mammalia; Primates; Hominidae.